Molecule: transfer RNA, 67 nt
Filed under: Pliocardia ponderosa
Lineage: Eukaryota; Metazoa; Mollusca; Bivalvia; Venerida; Vesicomyidae
Description: tRNA-Ile
Source: RNAcentral
GAUGUUAUGCCAGAGAAAUUGGAUUAUCUUGAUGAGGUAAAAUAUGAGAUUACUAUCUUUAACAUUU